AAAUAAAUUUUUUAUGAUUUAUAUAAUUUAAUUUAAAUUUAUUUUACAUAUAAAUUUUAGUGUAUAUUUUUAAUUAUUUUAAAAAUUUUUAAAAAUUUAAUUUUAAUAGUAAUUAAUAUUAAAAAUUUAAGAAAUUAAGAUUUAGUAAUAUUUAUUUAUUAUUAACAAAUUUUGUGCCAGCAGUUGCGGUUAAACAAAAAAUAAUUUAAAUUUUAUUAGUAAAUAAUAAAUAUUAUAAUAAAAAUUAAAUAUUAAAUUAUUAGGUGAAAUUUUAAUUUAAUUAAAAUUUAAUUUAAUAAUAUGAUUUAUAAAAUUUUAUAAAAAACUAGAAUUAGAUACUCUAUUAUUAAAAAUUAAAUUGAUUAUACUAAAAUAGUAUAUAAUUAUUUAUAAAAACUUAAAUAAUUUGGCGGUAUUUUAGUUCAUUUAGAGGAAUCUGUUUAAUAAUUGAUAAUCCACGAAUAAAUUUACUUAAUUUAUAUAUUUUGUAUAUCGUUGUUAAAAAAAUAUUUUUUAAUAAAAAUAAUAUUUUAAAAUUUUUAAAAUAAAUUAAUUCAGAUCAAGAUGCAGAUUAUAAUUAAGAAUAAAAUGGAUUACAAUAAAAAUAAUUAAAUGGAUAUUAUUUUUUAAAGAUAAUUGAAGGUGGAUUUAAAUGUAAUUUUAUUUAUUUUAUUAAAAUGAUUAAAAAUUAAAAUAUGUACAUAUUGCCCGUCGCUUUCAUUAAUAAAUUGGAAUAAGUCGUAACAAAGUAGAGGUACUGGAAAGUGUUUCUAGAAAGAA
Molecule: non-coding RNA, 780 nt
Filed under: Papilio slateri
Lineage: Eukaryota; Metazoa; Arthropoda; Insecta; Lepidoptera; Papilionidae
Source: RNAcentral